RNAcentral lists this ribosomal RNA (308 nucleotides) under uncultured archaeon. RNAcentral describes it as "bacterial SSU rRNA". It matches the Rfam family "Archaeal small subunit ribosomal RNA", at positions 526 to 834 of the family's 1478-position model. The record is from RNAcentral.
CGGUUCUGCAAGUCCUCCGUUAAAUCCACCUGCUCAACAGAUGGGCUGCGGGGGAUACCGCAGAGCUAGGAGGCGGGAGAGGCAAACGGUACUCAGUGGGUAGGGGUAAAAUCCUUUGAUCUACUGAAGACCACCAGUGGCGAAGGCGGUUUGCCAGAACGCGCUCGACGGUGAGGGAUGAAAGCUGGGGGAGCAAACCGGAUUAGAUACCCGGGUAGUCCCAGCUGUAAACGAUGCAGACUCGGUGAUGGGUUGGCUUCGAGCCAACCCAGUGCCGCAGGGAAGCCGUUAAGUCUGCCGCCUGGGGA